Molecule: ribosomal RNA, 430 nt
Filed under: uncultured bacterium
Lineage: Bacteria
Description: partial 16S ribosomal RNA
Rfam family: Bacterial small subunit ribosomal RNA
Source: RNAcentral
GUGGGGAAUAUUGCACAAUGGGCGCAAGCCUGAUGCAGCAACGCCGCGUGAGGGAUGACGGCCUUCGGGUUGUAAACCUCUUUUAGUAGGGAAGAAGCGAAAGUGACGGUACCUGCAGAAAAAGCACCGGCUAACUACGUGCCAGCAGCCGCGGUAAUACGUAGGGUGCAAGCGUUGUCCGGAAUUAUUGGGCGUAAAGAGCUCGUAGGCGGCUUGUCGCGUCUGCUGUGAAAUCCCGGGGCUCAACCCCGGGCCUGCAGUGGGUACGGGCAGGCUAGAGUGCGGUAGGGGAGAUUGGAAUUCCUGGUGUAGCGGUGGAAUGCGCAGAUAUCAGGAGGAACACCGAUGGCGAAGGCAGAUCUCUGGGCCGCUACUGACGCUGAGGAGCGAAAGCAUGGGGAGCAAAAGGGAUUAGAUACCCUUGUAGUCC